AGUGAACGCUGGCGGUAGGCCUAACACAUGCAAGUCGAACGGCAGCACAGUAAGAGCUUGCUCUUACGGGUGGCGAGUGGCGGACGGGUGAGGAAUACAUCGGAAUCUACUUUUUCGUGGGGGAUAACGUAGGGAAACUUACGCUAAUACCGCAUACGACCUACGGGUGAAAGCAGGGGAUCUUCGGACCUUGCGCGAUUGAAUGAGCCGAUGUCGGAUUAGCUAGUUGGCGGGGUAAAGGCCCACCAAGGCGACGAUCCGUAGCUGGUCUGAGAGGAUGGUAAGCCACACUGGAACUGGGACACGGUCCAGACUCCUACGGGAGGCAGCAGUGGGGAAUAUUGGGCAAUGGGCGCAAGCCUGGUCCAGCCAUACCGCGUGGGUGGAGAAGGCCUUCGGGUUGUAAAGCCCUUUUGUUGGGAAAGAAAAGCAGCAGGUUAAUACCCCGCUGUUCUGACGGUACCCAAAGAAUAAGCACCGGCUAACUUCGUG
RNAcentral lists this ribosomal RNA (492 nucleotides) under uncultured bacterium. RNAcentral describes it as "partial 16S ribosomal RNA". It matches the Rfam family "Bacterial small subunit ribosomal RNA", at positions 29 to 507 of the family's 1533-position model. The record is from RNAcentral.